Molecule: ribosomal RNA, 360 nt
Filed under: uncultured bacterium
Lineage: Bacteria
Description: bacterial SSU rRNA
Rfam family: Bacterial small subunit ribosomal RNA
Source: RNAcentral
AGCGAACGCUGGCGGCAGGCUUAACACAUGCAAGUCGAACGAUCCUUCGGGAUAGUGGCGGACGGGUGAGUAACACGUGGGAACGUGCCCUUAGGUUCGGAACAACACAGGGAAACUUGUGCUAAUACCGGAUAAGCCCUUACGGGGAAAGAUUUAUCGCCUUUGGAGCGGCCCGCGUCUGAUUAGCUUGUUGGUGAGGUAAAGGCUCACCAAGGCUACGAUCAGUAGCUGGUCUGAGAGGAUGGCCAGCCACAUUGGGACUGAGACACGGCCCAAACUCCUACGGGAGGCAGCAGUGGGGAAUCUUGCGCAAUGGGCGAAAGCCUGACGCAGCGACGCCGCGUGUGGGAUGACGGCCUU